AGUGAACGCUGGCGGUAGGCCUAACACAUGCAAGUCGAACGGCAGCACAGUAAGAGCUUGCUCUUACGGGUGGCGAGUGGCGGACGGGUGAGGAAUACAUCGGAAUCUACUUUUUCGUGGGGGAUAACGUAGGGAAACUUACGCUAAUACCGCAUACGACCUACGGGUGAAAGCAGGGGAUCUUCGGACCUUGCGCGAUUGAAUGAGCCGAUGUCGGAUUAGCUAGUUGGCGGGGUAAAGGCCCACCAAGGCGACGAUCCGUAGCUGGUCUGAGAGGAUGAUACGCCACACUGGAACUGAGCCACGGUCCAGACUCCUACGGGAGGCAGCAGUGGGGAAUAUUGGACAAUGGGCGCAAGCCUGAUCCAGCCAUACCGCGUGGGUGAAGAAGGCCUUCGGGUUGUAAAGCCCUUUUGUUGGGAAAGAAAAGCAGCAGGUUAAUACCCCGCUGUUCUGACGGUACCCAAAGAAUAAGCACCGGCUAACUUCGUG
RNAcentral lists this ribosomal RNA (492 nucleotides) under uncultured bacterium. Its description in RNAcentral is "partial 16S ribosomal RNA". It matches the Rfam family "Bacterial small subunit ribosomal RNA", at positions 29 to 507 of the family's 1533-position model. The record is from RNAcentral.